Cyanistes caeruleus (blue tit) is the source of this 180-nucleotide non-coding RNA. The record is from RefSeq and is a predicted model, not a curated record. NCBI's taxonomy places the organism in Eukaryota, Metazoa, Chordata, Aves, Passeriformes, Paridae.
GAGAUCAGGAGAUCCCUGUCUGAGAAGUCUCCCUCUGCUCAGGGGAAUAUUCAUGUUGCCUCUGAGUCCUCAGGAAGGGAACCCAUGAACGAGGCUGCAGCAGAGGAAGAUUCAUCUGGCACCAAGAACUGCGAUGACAGUUGCCCAGAGCCUGAGGAGCCUGAUGCCAUCUGAGGGAUG